UGCCCAAGAGACUGGGAUAACACCUGGAAACAGAUGCUAAUACCGGAUAACAACACUAGACGCAUGUCUAGAGUUUAAAAGAUGGUUCUGCUAUCACUCUUGGAUGGACCUGCGUGCAUUAGCUAGUUGGUAAGGCAACGGCUUACCAAGGCAAUGAUGCAUAGCCGAGUUGAGAGACUGAUCGGCCACUAUUGGGACUGAGACACGGUCCAAACUCCUACGGGAGGGCAGCAGAG
This 236-nucleotide ribosomal RNA is filed under the name uncultured bacterium. Its description in RNAcentral is "partial 16S ribosomal RNA". It matches the Rfam family "Bacterial small subunit ribosomal RNA", at positions 127 to 357 of the family's 1533-position model. The record is from RNAcentral.